Long non-coding RNA from Mauremys reevesii (Reeves's turtle), 2233 nucleotides. RefSeq lists it as uncharacterized. The transcript has 4 exons. Lineage: Eukaryota; Metazoa; Chordata; Testudines; Geoemydidae. The record is from RefSeq and is a predicted model, not a curated record.
CCAGCUUCGUGUGAGACGAGUGACACCAGACAGGAACACAGUACUCUGCUGUUGAAUAUCAGAGGGCAAGGGCUGAUGAUCUAAGUGUCUGGGCACUUGCACCCCAGGUUGAGCCAGCCAGUUUUCUUAGCAGGUUGUUCUGAGUGCUAACUUUGGCUGCCGUCUUUCUCAAGUGGUUGUGAUGGAAUACACUGGAAAUGGUCUUAGAAAAGCUCGGCUGCAGGCACCGUUGACUGCAGUAGUCUGCCAGGAGCUUCUUCAUUCAAGAUCAUGUCAGUUUCUGAGAAGGCGUGAGCUUGGUGUUAUCAGCAUAGAUAAACUUGCGCAAGAGUGUAGCUGGGCUCCUAGAGGCAAUUGCUGAUGUGUUUACGUAGGAGCCAUGGUCAUUCUACGCCAGGAACUAGGCCAGGAAUUUUGUACUGGCCACCUACUAAAUAGACUCUAACAACAUGGCUACAGAUUCUCCACCAGGUUGUCCUUCCUUGACGAGCCAGCUACAUCAACCUCUUCCCCUUUGCCCUACAUAUGCAUACCAAAGCCAGGGGUCUGUGAUUGAGUGGUGUUCUCAUCCCUGGCUUUUGGCAUAAAAUGGAUUAGUGAAACAGAGGCAGAUUGGAGUUUUCAGCUUAUCAUCAAGGACCGUUCACACAUCAGAUUCCAAUAUUGUCUCCAGUAGACAAUGAUACGUCAGUGGAUAUCUCCUACCGUAGGACACUCCUUUUACCUGCUGAUCACUAGUUUCCUGUUAUAAGUAACUUGCUCCCAUGCCCUCUGGUGCCGUGGUCCUGUCAGGUGUUACAAAAAAAGCAGGAUGAAGCUAUAUCCGUGUUCCUUAGGAGGCCUCCAAGAAACAUCUAGAUGCCUCAGGAAGAGGUGGCGUAAUUCAGCUGUCGCCACUCUUUCCUUUCAGUCAGUACCGAAUCAAUGCAAUCUCAGUUCGGUACAUCUGGGACGGAGAAAUGGGACACAUCCUCCUUUCCCAGGCCUUUUGCAUUUCAGUGAGUCUAGGUUAGGGGGUCUCUGGUUCUGGAUUCCUCCCUGUGGUUUUGGUUCUGGGUCAGAUCCAAAACCAACCAGAGCGUGUUGGGUUUUUUUUGCUGAUGUUUCAGAUGUAGCUGAAAUCGCACAAAAAGGCAGUUCCCAUGGGAUUUCGUGCUACGAUGGUUAGACUAUGCGGAACAUCUGAUCCCACAAGAUUUUUUCCCCUUCAUUCUGUUUCACCAUUAUGGAGAGGUUUCUGGCCUUUGAGGUCCAACUCUCAUGACGACAGCUUUUGUGCACAUAGGUCCCCAAAUCAAAGUCCGGGGCCCCCUUGUACUGAUUACUAACAAGAAAACAGUCUGUGGCGCAGAGAGCCCACAGAUUGGACGUACAAAAAAGCAGAUAGUUGGUUGGGGGAUAGGUAACAGAAAAUGGGCAUGAAUAGAAAGCGAGCCAUAGUUUCAGCCUAUAAGCCAUGUAUUAGCACUGGUUCAGCCUCAAACCCCAAUCUACACCUCAUCCUUAUCCAAAUGCUAUCUCCCUGGCCCACUCCUGUUUGUAUAUUAUACAGGCAGGAAUAGUUCUGUGCUCUCGUUUUUAUCCCCUUUCCUCCUCUGAGAUGGAAGUAGGAGAGACCUAUAUCAAAUCUCACAAUCCAUUUAUAAACGUCCCCAAGCCAUGCUCAGCAGUCAUCAUCUUCACUCAUAGCUGACGUGCAUUAUGCAGUUCCUGGAUGAUAUUGGAUGAUGUGUGUUCGACUUUGUAUCUUUAAGUGAUCGACUGCUGUGUAUAUUUUGAUAGCAGGGAGGAAAAAAUAAAGCAAGCAUUAUUGUAGGCCUUCCUGGGGCUGAUUUGUGGUCAUGGUAUUCUAAAAACAAAAGCAUAAGCCCACAGCUUAUAUUUGCUGCCUCAUAAAUACAGAAUAAUUUAAGUCUUCUCCCAUUUAUGUCUUGUACCUGUGUGAUCUACGAGUCUGAGGCUUCCCUGGAUAGCAGUAACACCAUGAUGAAAAGUCCAGCAUGAGCCAAGCAGAGGACACAUUUGCAUAUAGAUUGAAAUGUGAAUCGUUGGGAGCCAUUCAUUAACUGCAGCGCUCGAGACAUGUGGCAUUUUAAGAGCAGCCGGCAUCAAAUCUUUUCCAUCAAAUUUAUGGGACAAUUAAAAUGCUGGGGUAGCUGUGCACAGAAAAUGAAGCCGCGGGCUGGGGAGAUGUUCUUACUGAGGAUUAUAAAUUGUAUGAUGCAUGAGACAG